RNAcentral lists this ribosomal RNA (106 nucleotides) under Patescibacteria group bacterium. RNAcentral also lists the same sequence under 2 other names. The record is from RNAcentral.
UAUGGGGAUAAUACCGCAAGUGACCCACCUGAUACCAUUCCGAACUCAGAAGUGAAACCUUGUAGGGCCGAUGAUAGUUUAAUGCGAAAGUAGGACAUCCCCAUUU